This is a non-coding RNA of Cicer arietinum (chickpea), 1584 nucleotides long. Lineage: Eukaryota; Viridiplantae; Streptophyta; Magnoliopsida; Fabales; Fabaceae. The record is from RefSeq and is a predicted model, not a curated record.
CAACAUUUGGUCUCUCCAUUUAAACCCUAAAAUAUCAAAUCCAAAUUUUCAAGCUCUCUCGCUGUGUUGUCUCCCAUCAUCGCCGUCUCUCGAGCUCUCUCUCACAUCGCCGUUGUCUCUCACAUCGUCGCCGUCUCUCGAGCUCUCUCGUUGUGUUGUCUUGUUUGCUAUUUCACUGUGUCGUUCUUGCUACGCCGCGUUUCAAUCGACAAUUUCUUCGCUGCGUGGAAUCCUACACGUCCUUCCCGCUACUUCCAAACUGCAGGUAUAUCUCUUCAUCCUUUCUCAAACCCUUUUCUCUCUACUAUCUUCAACAAACCCUAAUCCCCCAAAACCCUAAAUUCAAUUUCGAACAACCCUAAAUUCAUCUCUCUCGUUUCACUUCGCGAUUUGCAAUAGCAAGUAAAUUCUAUUCUCUUUCCAAAUCAUUUCAGUUUGUAAUUUCAAUAUUUAUUUUGGUAAUCUUGCUUGUUAAGUGUCAUUAAUUCACGAUUUGCUAAAUGAGGUUGUCAGUUUGCGAUUUGUUCUGUUUUUGAGCUGAUAUGAGUGCUAAUCUAAAAUUUCAAUUUACACUAACUUUGGUGUGUGCCACUAUGAUUUUGUUAAAUCACAUUUUUUUGUAUGUUGAUAAUAUGAAAUGUAAAUGAUUUAUUUGCAUUUCCAUAAGGAGAGAAUUUUGCGAUGAUGCCUGGCACAAGUAUAGAUGCACCACAUAUUGCAGGUCUUGCUGCGCUUAUUAAGCAGAAGUUCCCAAAUUUCAGUCCUCCAGCCAUUGGUUCUACACUUUCUACUACUGCGUCUUAGAAUGAUAAGAGUGGUGGACCGCUAAUGGCUCAACGAUUGUGUGCUUUUCCAGAUCUAAGCCAAACCCCGACUACUCCUUUUGACAUGGUGAUCAAUAUUCAUGGAAGAAAUCCAGAGAUUUGCUUGAGAAGGUUGCUGGGCAAGGUGAUCUUACUGGUUAUGGAGUUCCUUGAUGCUAAGGAUGAUCUAACUCCAUAUCCAAGGGCAAUCCAAGAUUCAGUCAAGGUUACUCAGGAGUUGGGAAUAAAGGCGGUAUUCACGUAAGUAUGAAAUUAGGCGAUACAAGUAACGUGUAAAAUAAAAUUAUUAGGGCUGCAGAACACUCUCAUUUGAGCAUCCCAGAAACUGAAUUUUGGAAGAAAAGAAAGCAAUACCAUCAGCUUCUGCAAAACUCUCUUAUUUUUGCUUCAGUUGGGACCGCAACGAAAUUUGUUGGUUUGGCAGCAUGUCGUGCAUAUGCAGUGAAGAAGAACUCUUCUGCCUAGUCAUCAAACAACUUAAAUUAAGGUAACAAUUUUGACAUAAUUGUGAAUUUGUGUUAAGUAUUGUAUACAAAACCUCAUCGGGCGACCUUAAGUUAGAGUUUUUUAUGCAUAAUAAUCACUAAUUUCAUUUAUUCUUUGUUAGGUUAAGGCUUGUUAUAUGUAGUUAGUUUCCUCAAUAUGAUUGUUGGUUUUCAGUCUAAUUUUCAUUGUGAACUUUUUAGGGGAAAUUACAUUGAUUUGAUGAAAUUACAGUUAUCGAUCUUUUAAUUAGAGUAUGCUUGAAACGUUUCACACA